This 269-nucleotide unclassified non-coding RNA is filed under the name Clavicipitaceae sp. RNAcentral describes it as "partial contains 18S rRNA, ITS1, 5.8S rRNA, ITS2 and 28S rRNA". The stretch from base 225 to 269 matches the Rfam family "5.8S ribosomal RNA", at positions 1 to 45 of the family's 154-position model. Lineage: Eukaryota; Fungi; Ascomycota; Sordariomycetes; Hypocreales; Clavicipitaceae. The record is from RNAcentral.
GUAACAAGGUUUCCGUUGGUGAACCAGCGGAGGGAUCAUUACCGAGUUUACAAACUCCCAAACCCCUGUGAACUUAUACCUAUACGUUGCUUCGGCGGGACUCGCCCCGGCUGCCAACCCGCUCGCGGGGAGGCGGACCGGACCCAGGCGCCCGCCGGAGGACCCAAACUCUUCUGUCUCUCAUAGCGGCAUGUCUGAGUGGAUUUUUAUACAAAAUGAAUCAAAACUUUCAACAACGGAUCUCUUGGUUCUGGCAUCGAUGAAGAACG